CCACGCGCGCGCCUCCCGCUACUCCGCCACCGACCCCAGAGAGCCCAGCCCGCUUCCCGGAUUGGCUGCCUGGAUGACAUCACGAGUCUCCCAUUGGCGGACUGCUUGACAGACGGCUCCGCCCCCCCACAGCUGAGGCGAAGAGCCUCGAGCGCGCCUAAUUUGAGAUUGCAGACAGCUGAGGCGGCUUUUGCUCGCUGCCUCAGGAGAAGGAACCCAAGGGAAGAAGAAGACUCGCCGAAGACCACCUCAGCUACGCUGCCAGACUCCUGGAAAGGAGCGCCUAGUGCCGAGGCGGUGGCAGGAACUAGGGGGCUUCAAGCUCCACGGCCACUUUGCCAUUGGAAAACCAACUAGGUCGAGGACAAGCCUCCGAGGCACUGCAAGGAAGGGCUCCAUGCCCAGCCUUGGCCUUUACUUCAACAAAAAAUUAUCUGAGGGAAGGCUGUCUUCAGGACAGUGCAAGGAAGGGCUCCAUGCCCAGCCUUGGACUUUGCCUCAACAAUAACAGGAAUAGUUUCUGAGGGAAGGCUGUCUUCAGGACAGUGCAAAGAAGGGCUCCAUGCCCAGCCUUGGACUUUGCCUCAACAAUAACAGGAAUAGUUUCUGAGGGAAGGCUGUCUUCAGGACAGUGCAAGGAAGGGCUUUAUGCUCAGCCUUGGACUUUGCCUCAACAAUAACAGGAAUAGUUUCUGAGGGAAGGCUGUCUUCAGGACAGUGCAAGGAAGGGCUCCAUGCCCAGCCUGGGACUUUGCCUCAACAAUAAUAGGAAUAGUUUCUGAGGGAAGGCUGUCUUCAGGACAGUGCAAGGACGGGCUUUAUGCUCAGCCUUGGACUCUACCUCAACAAUAAUACGAAUAGUUUCUGAGGGAAGGCUGUCUUCAGGACAGUGCAAGGAAGGGCUCCAUGCCCAGCCUGGGACUUUGCCUCAACAAUAACAGGAAUAGUUUCUGAGGGAAGGCUGUCUUCAGGACAGUCCAAAGAAGGGCUUUAUGCUCAGCCUUGGACUUUGCCUUAACAAUAAUAGGAAUAGUUUCUGAGGGAAGGCUGUCUUCAGGACAGUGCAAGGAAGGGCUCCAUGCCCAGCCUUGGACUUUGCCUCAACAAUAACAGGAAUAGUUUCUGAGGGAAGGCUGUCUUCAGGACAGUCCAAAGAAGGGCUUUAUGCUCAGCCUUGGACUUUGCCUUAACAAUAAUAGGAAUAGUUUCUGAGGGAAGGCUGUCUUCAGGACAGUGCAAGGAAGGGCUCCAUGCCCAGCCUGGGACUUUGCCUCAACAAUAACAGGAAUAGUUUCUGAGGGAAGGCUGUCUUCAGGACAGUCCAAAGAAGGGCUUUAUGCUCAGCCUUGGACUUUGCCUUAACAAUAAUAGGAAUAGUUUCUGAGGGAAGGCUGUCUUCAGGACAGUGCAAGGAAGGGCUCCAUGCCCAGCCUUGGACUUUGCCUCAACAAUAACAGGAAUAGUUUCUGAGGGAAGGCUGUCUUCAGGACAGUCCAAAGAAGGGCUUUAUGCUCAGCCUUGGACUUUGCCUUAACAAUAACAGGAAUAGUUUCUGAGGGAAGGCUGUCUUCAGGACAGUCCAAAGAAGGGCUUUAUGCUCAGCCUUGGACUUUGCCUUAACAAUAAUAGGAAUAGUUUCUGAGGGAAGGCUGUCUUCAGGACAGUGCAAGGAAGGGCUCCAUGCCCAGCCUUGGACUUUGCCUCAACAAUAACAGGAAUAGUUUCUGAGGGAAGGCUGUCUUCAGGACAGUCCAAAGAAGGGCUUUAUGCUCAGCCUUGGACUUUGCCUUAACAAUAAUAGGAAUAGUUUCUGAGGGAAGGCUGUCUUCAGGACAGUGCAAGGAAGGGCUCCAUGCCCAGCCUGGGACUUUGCCUCAACAAUAACAGGAAUAGUUUCUGAGGGAAGGCUGUCUUCAGGACAGUCCAAAGAAGGGCUUUAUGCUCAGCCUUGGACUUUGCCUUAACAAUAAUAGGAAUAGUUUCUGAGGGAAGGCUGUCUUCAGGACAGUGCAAGGAAGGGCUCCAUGCCCAGCCUUGGACUUUGCCUCAACAAUAACAGGAAUAGUUUCUGAGGGAAGGCUGUCUUCAGGACAGUCCAAAGAAGGGCUUUAUGCCCAGCCUGGAAUUUUACCUCAACAAUAACAGGAAUAGUUUCUGAGGGAAGGCUGUCUUCAGGACAGUCCAAAGAAGGGCUUUAUGCUCAGCCUUGGACUUUGCCUUAACAAUAAUAGGAAUAGUUUCUGAGGGAAGGCUGUCUUCAGGACAGUGCAAGGAAGGGCUCCAUGCCCAGCCUUGGACUUUGCCUCAACAAUAACAGGAAUAGUUUCUGAGGGAAGGCUGUCUUCAGGACAGUCCAAAGAAGGGCUUUAUGCCCAGCCUGGAAUUUUACCUCAACAAUAAUAGGAAUAGUUUCUGAGGGAAGGCUGUCUUCAGGACAGUGCAAGGACGGGCUUUAUGCUCAGCCUUGGACUUUGCCUUAACAAUAACAGGAAUAGUUUCUGAGGGAAGGCUGUCUUCAGGACAGUGCAAAGAAGGGCUUUAUGCUCAGCCUUGGACUUUACCUCAACAAUAAUAGUAAUCUCUGUUGCCUUAGGAAAAGGAGGAAACCACUUAAGCCCUGCUACUCUGUCAGAAAUUUUUUUUUUUAAAGUGCGAAUGUGGGCUUCAAGCCCCCUGCUAAAAAAAAAUCUCUGAGGGGAAAUGGAGUUCACCUCUCUGCUUGUGCUUCUUCUUGCCCCAAAUCCUCAACUCCCCUCUGAGGAUGCUGCAGCCGUGCUGACGUGUACAAAAGCCCUGCCACCUCAUUGCCCACAUUUAUCGCAUUUUGUCUGCAGAGGGUAAAACGCAACAGAUUCUCCCCGUCCUCAGAACGCUGGGGCGCCACAGUCUUCUGCAUCACGGUGAAAACCUGUCCACUAUUAGAGCUUUCUCUCUGCAUACUAAUGUUAUAACUGUGGACAGCGUAGGGCAGGACUUCUGAGCGCAACGGCACAGGGGCUGUAGCAGAGAAUCCCGUGAGGCCAGGGACUGUGUAACAACAGACUGGGCCAUUUUAGUCUGAGAAAACUCAGUGUGAUUUGAGACUGUCCAAAUGGUGUAGGCCUGAACCGGACCAAAGCCAUGUUACCUUUCAUAUAUUCUGUCUGUGUAAGGGGGGCCUAGGGGGUUCCUUAUAAGGAGUUGCUUUUCUGUGCCAAGGAGGGCCAGGAGAGACUAGAUAAGAAGGUGAUGAGGUAUUCACCUAAAAGAAUACAUGCGCAGAAGUUAGCUGGAAAUUUACAGAAAGUCCAGACAAAGGAAAAGGGCAGUACCUAUGCACUAUCUCCUAGGCUAUAAAUAUGUCAUGCUUGUAAAUGAUCGGGACGAGCUUGGACGAGCGAUAGCUGCCAAGACCUUUGCUACUAUAGAGCUAAGAAAGCCUUUUAAAUCCUUCUCGGCUGGUGAAGUGUUUGGCUACUGGCCCAGAAAAGAACCUCUCUUUGUUGGGGUACAACAAAAAGAAACCUGAGACUUCUUUAUUCUCCCGACAGCUGUGUAAGGCAGCAUAACUCCUAAGAUAGUGGCUGGCUUGAAUGGCACCCUUCAUGUGCAUUAGAAGCUUGAGGCUUCUAGAUUCUGCCAACACCUUUCUGAGGCAGCAUGAUCUCUAAUUUUGCAGUGGGCUUGAAUGGAACAUGCUUCAUGCAUGUGGGAAGCUCCAGGCUUCUAGAUUCUCUCAACUGAAGAAAAAAUACUCUUCUUAGCCUCUCAGAUUUGGUUUAAUGAGUCAUUAGUUUUUAUCUUUUUAUAUCUGUGAACUGCAAGAGCCAUCUAGGUGAGGCGGCAUAAAAACCUAAUACAUUACAGAGCUGUGGGAGGCAUCACAAUCUAUAAUAUGGUGGCUGGCUUGUAAGGAAGACGCUUCAUAUAUGUUAGAAAAAUCAGGUAUCUUUAUAAUUCUGCUAGCCAGCAUCUCUGAUUUAGGGGCUGACUUGAAUGAAUACACUUCAUGUGUGUUCUGUUCUACCCUCUCAACAAUGCUUUGUGGCAGUUCUGAGUAGUGCUUUUGGAACAUUUUCUCUUCCCAAGAGGCCUGAGUGACAGACUUCAAGAAACUACCAAAGGAGGCAACGUCUCAGAAGCUAAGAAGACAUGAAAGGAGCAAACAACACACACACAUAUACAUACAUAAACGUGCGCGCGCGCGCACACACACACACACACAGACGAAGCAUCAGGCUUCUUUAUUGUCCCAAGAAUAAUAAAUGUUCUCUGGGCAGUUCACAACACAACAUGGCAAAACAUCCAAUAAACACACAUACAACACUCCAGACAUAGCACACACACACACAUAGACGAAGCAUCAGGCUUCUUUAUUGUCCCAAGAGUAUUAAGUGUUCUCUGGGCAGCUCACAAGACAUUACAAAACAUCCAAGAAACACACAUACAACAUGACAGACAAAGCACAACACAAAACAGCUGUGGUGGGCAGCAUCACCUCUAAAAUAGUGACUGCCUUUAACAGAACAUGCUUCAUGCGUGUUAGAAGGUGCAGGCUUUUUUAUUCCCCCAAACACCUUUGGCUACAUAUACUCUAACAUGGUGGCUGCCUUUAAUGGAACAUGCUUCAUGCAUGUCCUAUUGUAGCCCCUCGACAAUGCUUCGUGGCAAAUUUGGCAAGAAGAAACCGAGUCGGUCCAUGUGUCCCAAUGACUACCGUGCCUGAGUUUGCUUCUGGACCAUUCCCUCCUCCCAAGAGGCCGACCUGGCAGAUUUCUCUUCUCCAGACUGCAAGAAAGAAGUAAAGGAGUCUCAAGAGAGAAUGAGAAGAGGCAACAACAUGCAAUAUAAGACAAACCAAGCGCUGCAUAAGCCAAGCCCUAGAAGACACUGGAUAUAGGGGCUCUCCACAGGAAUCCUUAUUCUCCCUCUUUCUUUAUCCUCCCACCAGCUUUGUCUGGCAUCAUCAUCUGAAAUGGUGGCUGUCCUGAAUCUAACAUCCUUCUUGCGUGUUGGAAGCUUCAGGCUUCUAUAUUCUCUCAAUGGAUUUAAGAUGGUGGCUGUCUUGAAUGGAACAUGCUUCAUGCGUGUUCCAUUCUGUCCCCUGAGCAACGGUUUGGCAAGAAGGAACAGAAUUGGUGCACUUUUCUCAAGGACCUCCAUGCCCGAGUGGUGAUGUUGAAAAGUUUUAUUAUUAUCCUAUUAUCCAAGAUUCAAUCCUUAGCAACCUCCUAAGGUUAUAAGUAAAUAAGAUAAGAAUUUGAUAUUUAGCACAAUUCAAAAUAAAUGACAUAACUUGCUCUUUUCCAACAGAUUUCAGGAAAGAAUGAAAGAAGGCGAUGACACACAAGCCAAGAAAGAACAGCAAGCAUCUCGGGCAGGAACGGAAGAAGGUAACGAGAAGUCAGCCUUGGGGCUGCAGAACUCAGGGCCCAGAAAUCACUACAUUUCAGGGGUUACCAACAGAAGCUUCAGGUUUCUUUAUUUUUUCCACAGCUGUGGGAGGCAGCAUAAACUCUAAGAUGGUGGCUCUCUUGAAUGGAACAUGCUUCAUGAGGGUUGCUUUCUGUCCUCUCAGUAAGCUUUUGUGGUAAGUUUUGGCACAAAGAAAGAAGAGUUGGCACAUGUCUCCUUACAACUUCCAUGCCCGGGUGCUGACGUUUGAAUGAAGAGGCCUCUGUGAUAGGUAAGGCUCAGAGACAGGGACCGGACCAAGGUGAAGAGCACACAGGUGAACAAAAAGAGAACUCUCAGGGAAUAAGGGCUGCCUAGUGUAAAAAUGAGUUUAAAAUGGCCCACAUUUGAAAAUAAAAGUUGUAUCUUGUUCUUUCCCCACAGAUUUCAAGCAACAGUGCAAGGAGGCUACAGAAGCUCAUAUGAGUAGGAACAUGCUUCAUGCAUAUUGCAUUCUAUCCUCAGAAAGUUCUGUGAGAUCUGGGGCUAUGUCACUCAAGGCUACUGGCUUGAGUUCCUUCAGUCUCUAAAAACUGUGAAUCCAGGAGCUGUAGAACUGAUGCUUCAUGUGUAUUCUCCCAACAGCUUUGUGAACCAUCAUGAUCUCUGAGAGGGUGGCUGGCUUGCAAGGAAAGGAACAUGCUUUGUGUGUGUUCCAUCUUAUCUUCCCAAGUAUGUUUUGCAGCAUGCCUGGCAGGAAGAAACAGAGUUCCCGCACACAUCGCAGGGAUCUCCAUUCCUGAGUGGUGAUUUUGGUUCAAAGACAGAGUUAAAAAGAUGGUGCACCUGAAAAACCGAGACAGUACCAAGGUAAAGAAAGACCAACAAAAAGGGAACUCUCAGGGUGUAAUAGAAAGGUGUGCCAAUGCCUUAAAUGACAAGGCUUCUCAUCAUUGUAGAAUGUAUACAAGAUCUAUAUAGUCAGUGGAUGACAAGCAGACUAACUUCCUCAAUAAUACCACUCAUGAGUAACUAAAGUAAGUUACUUUAGAGUAGACUAAUCCAGCUUCCUUUGGGUAAUUUUGAUGUCAUGUCAUCCAAUAUUUACUACAUUUUGAUUUUUGCAAGAUGGUUAAAAUGAAAGAACUUUGAGAAGUACAUUGCCCAAUACAUCUAAGAUUUAAUCCUUAGCAAACUUCUCUUAUUGCCUGCAAGAUGGGAGAUAUCCUGCUCUUCAAAAUAAAUGACAUAAAAUAUUCCUUUCCAACAGAUUUCAAGAAUGAAAGGAGGCAACAGUACAGAAGCCAUGUCUAGCAAAACCUUGUGAGCCCUUUUGGGUCAAAGAACCUUCUUCUUUUCUUACAUAAAUCACUUUGAGAACACCUUGUUGAAAAGUGUAAAUAUUUGUAAUCAUCAUCAUAAUUGUGCUAUCAAUUUAAGGCUUUCUUUCAGAUAAAUACCUAAGACACUGGCUGUAACCAGAGGCUUCAAGCAUGACUUUCUUAUUUGCUUGCUCUUCAGAGAGCCGUGGGAGGUAAGUUAGGUUGGAAUAUGUUUUGCUGACGAACUGUUAAUGCCUGAUAAAGAAAGAAAUAUACAAAUAAUUUUUCUAUCCUAUGCAUUCAAUACACUGCUGCUAAACCUAUCACUUCUAAAUGCAACCCUGUUCUACUUAAAUGGAAGGAAAAAACACCUGAAACACUACUAAAUGCAAAAUAAAAUAAAAUAAUAAGAAAUAAACCCACUACUAAAUGCAAAAGACUCCCAACCUCGCUAAUAAAUGCAAAACACAGAUAAGCACAAUAAAAAGAAUUAAACAAGAACCACAGAUAAAACAGACAUAACACAACAGCCAGGAUUAAAAACAUUAAAACGGGAAACCCAGAUACAAGCACUAUUAAAAUUACCAGAAAAUUACAAUAUUUGAAACUGUGAUUAGAGGAAAAGAAGAAUUUUUCUUUGGGCAAAUUUUCUGAGAUGGCUGCUUUGCGUGGGUAUAUUUUCAGUGGAUCUGAAAAAAUAGGAACACAGGAAGCUGCCAUAUACUGAGUCAGACCAUAGGUCCAUCUCGCUCAGUAUUGUCUACACAGACUGGCAGCGGCUUCUCCAAGGUUGCAGGCAGGAAUCUCUCUCAGCCCUGUCUUGGAGAUGCUGCCAGGGAUAUGCAACCAGGGUGGAUCCUGCUAAGCUUAAGGGGACAAGUCAUGCUUGCUACCACAAGACCAGCUCUCUUCUUUGUAAUGUUUGGAACUAACACUAAUAUUUAACACUUGCACACUUAAAGGAUAUUUUGUGGUGCAUUUUGAAUGUUGAUACAUAAAUCAGUUCCAAAGAAGCGAGAGUAAAUAUUAAUGUGUCUUCAGCUUUUUUUUUUUACCCCAGCAGGUUGAUCUAAAUGGAUUGUUAUGUGGAGUAUGGAUGAAUUCCUCAGAAAAUCAGAAGUGUAUAAAAAUGGCUAAUGUACAUAUUCAUGUUUAGAUCUUUUUUCCAGAUGUUCUUUCCCCCUAGCAGGUUGGUUUAUAUGCAUUGCUAUGUAAACUGGGGAUGAAUUUUGAUUUCAUGUGAAUAUCCUACCCCGGAGGGCAGACUGUUUAAAAAUGCCUGUCGGUAAUAUGUAUUGACCUACACUUAGAUGUUUUUAUUUGCUUAUAAGGAUGUUGGACGUACAAUUUCAAGCUGUGUAAACUUGUCUCUGUAGCUGCUUUUCUUCCCAAAAGAGACUCGUGUGGACAUAUUGCAAAUUAUUUUUACUGCAGUAUCAUAGGGAUGUAGGAGCUGAAGUCCUACGCUCAGGGUGAAGUGCUGGUAACCUCUUCCCUGUAGUUUCAGCAGUGGCUGCCAUGGGCAGUGAUGCUUCCUUGGUCUACGUUACUGACGGACAUGGACAGGGUCAUCUCCUAUUACUUGGAAAUUAUUCUCUUUGUGUUCUUUAUGUGAACAAUCUGUGGAUUUAAUACUCUGUAAAACAUUCAUGUGGAACCCGGGUUCUUCUUUUCUGUAAUGUGUAUUAAAUGUUUGGCCUAGUCAAAUGUUUGAAAGAAGUUAUUGUAAAAGACUGCCUUGGCUUCACCUUGUACACUUCUGCUGUUGCUAAACUUUUGGACAACCUCAUGGGUCUGACGUGCAACUCUCUGAUCGGAUGCAAAGAGAGAGAGGGUCCCUCUUCCGGUGGUGAAUCCUGAUCCUUGGGCUGCUCCAAAGAGAGCAAUACAUGACAGAAUUGGACUGAACUAAUUUCGUUUUUCUUUUUAAAGGGAGGACCCGUUAAUUAAAGAGUAGCAAGUUUUGUGCGGUUGGUUUCUGUCUGAGGGACACACUACUGGGUAAUUUCUGCCCUGAGCAAAGAUGGCGGCAUGAAGCCCUCCUGCGAUGUUGAGUGACAGUUAGAAAGCUGGAAGACGGAAGCUUGUUCAGUUGGGCCUUCUGUGAUAAAACCGGAAACAGAUGAGCGACAGAGAGAACUCGGAGUUCUAGCACCGUUAGGAAAGAGUAACCCGAGCUGGGUUACAGAGUGCAUUUCUGGCAUGCUUCAUAACUGCAAACCCAUGGACAUCGAAGAGUCACAGGCUAGGGCUGCAGAUGUCACUUUGAUUGGAAGCUCAUUGGGGCAAGGACCUUUAAAAAAAAAUCACACCAUUCUGCAAAGCAUCUUGUGCACAGG
Hemicordylus capensis (graceful crag lizard) is the source of this 9034-nucleotide long non-coding RNA. RefSeq lists it as uncharacterized. The record is from RefSeq and is a predicted model, not a curated record. The transcript has 4 exons. Lineage: Eukaryota; Metazoa; Chordata; Lepidosauria; Squamata; Cordylidae.